UAACCUAAGAGUUUGAUCCUGGCUCAGAACGAACGCUGGCGGCAUGCUUAACACAUGCAAGUCGAACGAGAUCUUCGGAUCUAGUGGCGCACGGGUGAGUAACGCGUGGGAACCUGCCUAUCUGUACGGAAUAACGUUUGGAAACGAACGCUAAUACCGUAUACGCCCUGUGGGGGAAAGGUCCGCCGCAGAUAGAGGGGCCCGCGUCCGAUUAGCUUGUUGGUGAGGUAACGGCUCACCAAGGCGACGAUCGGUAGCUGGUCUGAGAGGAUGAUCAGCCACACUGGGACUGAGACACGGCCCAGACUCC
This 310-nucleotide ribosomal RNA is filed under the name Alphaproteobacteria bacterium. RNAcentral describes it as "bacterial SSU rRNA". It matches the Rfam family "Bacterial small subunit ribosomal RNA", at positions 1 to 339 of the family's 1533-position model. The record is from RNAcentral. Lineage: Bacteria; Pseudomonadati; Pseudomonadota; Alphaproteobacteria.